UACAGAGGUGGCGAGCGUUGUUCGGAUUUACUGGGCGUAAAGGGUGCGUAGGCGGCCGCGUGUGUCGGAUGUGAAAUCUCGCAGCUCAACUGCGAAACGGCAUCCGAAACUACGGGGCUCGAGUACCGGAGAGGAAGAUGGAAGUCUCGGUGUAGCGGUGAAAUGCGUAGAUAUCGAGAGGAACACCCGUGGCGAAGGCGAUCUUCUGGACGGAUACUGACGCUGAGGCACGAAGGCCGGGGGAGCAAACAGG
RNAcentral lists this ribosomal RNA (253 nucleotides) under uncultured bacterium. RNAcentral describes it as "partial 16S ribosomal RNA". It matches the Rfam family "Bacterial small subunit ribosomal RNA", at positions 524 to 776 of the family's 1533-position model. The record is from RNAcentral.